GACGAACGCUGGCGGCGUGCUUAACACAUGCAAGUCGAACGGAAAGGCCCUGCUUUUGUGGGGUGCUCGAGUGGCGAACGGGUGAGUAACACGUGAGUAACCUGCCCUUGACUUUGGGAUAACUUCAGGAAACUGGGGCUAAUACCGGUUAGGAGCUCCUGCUGCAUGGUGGGGGUUGGAAAGUUUCGGCGGUUGGGGAUGGACUCGCGGCUUAUCAGCUUGUUGGUGGGGUAGUGGCUUACCAAGGCUUUGACGGGUAGCCGGCCUGAGAGGGUGACCGGCGACAUUGGGACUGAGAUUCGGCCCAGACUCCUACGGGAGGCAGCAGUGGGGAAUAUUGCACAAUGGGCGGAAGCCUGAUGCAGCAACGCCGCGUGCGGGAUGACGGCCUUCGGGUUGUAAACCGCUUUCGCCUGUGACGAAGCGUGAGUGACGGUAAUGGGUAAAGAAGCACCGGCUAACUACGUG
This 468-nucleotide ribosomal RNA is filed under the name uncultured bacterium. Its description in RNAcentral is "partial 16S ribosomal RNA". It matches the Rfam family "Bacterial small subunit ribosomal RNA", at positions 28 to 507 of the family's 1533-position model. The record is from RNAcentral.